This 301-nucleotide ribosomal RNA is filed under the name uncultured bacterium. Its description in RNAcentral is "partial 16S ribosomal RNA". It matches the Rfam family "Bacterial small subunit ribosomal RNA", at positions 509 to 807 of the family's 1533-position model. The record is from RNAcentral.
CAGCAGCCGCGGGAAUACGUAGGUGGCGAGCGUUGUCCGGAAUUAUUGGGCGUAAAGGGAGUGUAGGCGGUCUUUUAAGUCUGAUGUGGAAGCCCACGGCUCAACCGUGGAGGGUCAUUGGAAACUGAGAGACUUGAGUGCAGAAGGGGAGAGCGGAAUUCCAUGUGUAGCGGUGAAAUGCGUAGAUAUAUGGAGGAACACCAGUGGCGAAGGCGGCUCUCUGGUCUGUAACUGACGCUGAGGCUCGAAAGCGUGGGGAGCAAACAGGAUUAGAUACCCGCGUAGUCCCUGUCUCUUAUAC